RNAcentral lists this ribosomal RNA (210 nucleotides) under uncultured bacterium. Its description in RNAcentral is "partial 16S ribosomal RNA". It matches the Rfam family "Bacterial small subunit ribosomal RNA", at positions 524 to 733 of the family's 1533-position model. The record is from RNAcentral.
GACGUAGGAUCCGAGCGUUGUCCGGAGUUACUGGGCGUAAAGCGCGCGCAGGCGGACCGAUACAUCGGCGGUGAAAGCCCCCGCUUAACGGGGGAGGGUCCGUCGAGAUGGACUGACUGGAGGCAGGGAGAGGGCGGUGGAAUUCCGGGUGUAGUGGUGAAAUGCGUAGAGAUCCGGAGGAACACCAGUGGCGAAGGCGGCCGGCCCUGG